RNAcentral lists this ribosomal RNA (120 nucleotides) under Triticum aestivum (bread wheat). Lineage: Eukaryota; Viridiplantae; Streptophyta; Magnoliopsida; Poales; Poaceae. The record is from RNAcentral.
GGAUGCGAUCAUACCAGCACUAAAGCAGCGGAUCCCUUCAGAACUCCGAAGUUAAGCGUGCUUGGGCGAGAGUAGUACUAGGACGGGUGACCUCCUGGGUAGUCCUCGUGUUGCAUUCCC